RNAcentral lists this ribosomal RNA (729 nucleotides) under uncultured bacterium. RNAcentral's name for it is "bacterial SSU rRNA". It matches the Rfam family "Bacterial small subunit ribosomal RNA", at positions 771 to 1501 of the family's 1533-position model. The record is from RNAcentral.
AACAGGAUUAGAUACCCUGGUAGUCCACGCCCUAAACGAUGUCUACUAGUUGUCGGGUUUUAAUUAACUUGGUAACGCAGCUAACGCGUGAAGUAGACCGCCUGGGGAGUACGGUCGCAAGAUUAAAACUCAAAGGAAUUGACGGGGACCCGCACAAGCGGUGGAUGAUGUGGAUUAAUUCGAUGCAACGCGAAAAACCUUACCUACCCUUGACAUGUACGGAAGACCGAAGAGAUUUGGUUGUGCUCGAAAGAGAACCGUAACACAGGUGCUGCAUGGCUGUCGUCAGCUCGUGUCGUGAGAUGUUGGGUUAAGUCCCGCAACGAGCGCAACCCUUGUCAUUAGUUGCUACAUUUAGUUGAGCACUCUAAUGAGACUGCCGGUGACAAACCGGAGGAAGGUGGGGAUGACGUCAAGUCCUCAUGGCCCUUAUGGGUAGGGCUUCACACGUCAUACAAUGGUACAUACAGAGGGCCGCCAACCCGCGAGGGGGAGCUAAUCCCAGAAAGUGUAUCGUAGUCCGGAUCGCAGUCUGCAACUCGACUGCGUGAAGUUGGAAUCGCUAGUAAUCGCGGAUCAGCAUGUCGCGGUGAAUACGUUCCCGGGUCUUGUACACACCGCCCGUCACACCAUGGGAGCGGGUUUUACCAGAAGUAGGUAGCUUAACCGCAAGGAGGGCGCUUACCACGGUAGGAUUCGUGACUGGGGUGAAGUCGUAACAAGGUAACC